GGGACGCGGGCGUGCGGGUUCCCUGCCAGCUGCGGGCACCCGGAGCACGCUGGCCGCCUGAGCUCGGCGCAGGGCCCGGAGCCCGGAGCCGGCCGUCCCCUGCCCACUGGGUGCUGGGCAGCAGCCCGGGCUGCGGCAGCCCGGCUCCCGGGGAGCGCGCCCCGCCAUGGAGUCUUCGCACAAAGACGCCGAGACGGCGGCAGCGGCGGUGGCAGCAGCGGACCCCCGGGGGGCGUCCUCGUCCAGCGGGGUGGUGGUGCAGGUCCGCGAGAAGAAGGGCCCCCUGCGCGCCGCCAUCCCCUACAUGCCCUUCCCGGUGGCCGUCAUCUGCCUCUUCCUCAACACUUUCGUGCCAGGACUGGGGACGUUCGUCUCGGCCUUCACCGUACUGUGUGGGGCCCGCACCGACCUCCCGGACAGGCAUGUGUGCUGCGUCUUCUGGCUGAACAUCGCGGCGGCCCUCAUCCAGAUCCUCACGGCCAUCGUCAUGGUGGGCUGGAUCAUGAGCAUCUUCUGGGGCAUGGACAUGGUCAUCCUUGCCAGCUACAAGGAGCAGGGCAUCCCACAGCAGCUGUGAUCCCGGCCAGCCUCCAGGAGUCCAGGUCACCCCGCGAGGGCCCCAUCUGGCAACGGCGGGCAUGAGGACCUUGCCUGUUGUCUUCUGCUGUUUCCUGGUUUGGAGUGGACGGGGAGGGAUCUGAAGAUACCAUUUACUUUGGAAACGUACCUGCUUUUCUCAAAAGGCCAAGCCAGCUCUGUGAGGACCCCAGCUGGCCCCCUUCCACAGCUCACUGAACACCGUUUCCGGCCCACAGUCCGUUUUCUGAAGUCCUUGGAAUGGAUGGGUCUCUGAGUUCAGAGAUGUUGGGUCUGAGAAAGAGAGUAGCAGCCAUGUGCCCCACGUUUCCUAACGCCCGCAGUCUGGAACAGCGCUCCGCCGUCCAACAUGCGACACAGGGAUGCCGCCCGCUGCACAGGGGCCGCGGGUCCCUUUAGGACACCUACGGUCGGACCCCACGGUGGGGCAGGGAUGAGCCCAAGGCGUCCAGGUGACUGCAGGUCAUGUGUCGAUCUGAAACAAGGAGGGAGAAGCUCCGAAAUGAUAGCGACAAGGCAGAUGUUUCCAAGUCUGGUUUCAUUUUCACUCUAACACAGGAAUUGAUAAUAUGGGAGACGGGCUCCUGGCCAAGUUUCCCCCACACUGGACUUUGUGCCGUGGGGCGUGCUUCUCUUUGAGGGGCUGUUUCUGUGGGUCAGAGGCUGUCAGGGUUCAGCUGGGGCUGGAGAAGGGACCUGUCUGUGUCUGCCCAUUUUUUUUUCAUGCUGCUCAGAGCCCCUGGCUCCAUUGAGAGCCCCGUUGGGGGCCACUGUUUGCACAGUCUUUGUUCUUAAACCCCCAGCUGGGGCAGCAGCCCCCCUGCCCCAUGCACUGGGCUUUCUAAUUACAGUCCCACCAGGGAAGCAGGCCUGGGGGGUCCCUGUGACCUGCACAACUUCCUGGCAUUCCCCCCAGAUGCUCGCCCACCCCUGCACCCCGAUUCGGGGCAGGUUCUCCACUCCUGGCCUGACCUUAGUCGCCUGUCACCCCUUAGUUGUGACGAGCAUCUCCUCGAGGCUGCAGGGGCUGGGGUGCCCUUUCUAAAGCCCUGGCACGUCUGUGUCUCUUCCCUCCUCCUCUCUUCCUGACGCUGCCCCGGCCUCUGCUGCUGUUUUCAUAUUUGGAAGCCGCUGCGUUUUCAAGGCGUGGGGCCAGAUUUGGUUUGAUCGGAGGGCCGGACCCUUUGUCCAGGCUGAGGAGAUGGCCGGCAGGCCCCUGGCUGCUCUCGAGGAAGCGGCGUCUGAGCUUGGAGCCUCCCCUCGAAUCAGAUAAAACAGCCUCAGCUGAUGGGACAACCGCGCAGAAGCCCAGCCACCCCCCCCCCCACGGCCCUCCCCGCAGCAGCUCCCCGAGUUCGCGUGGUCCCCUGGACUGAUGACAGGUUCCCCGUGAGGGAGGGUGCGCCCACUGUGGGAGGGGAGGGUGCUGUUCUCCUGGCUGUGGCUGGGGGGCGCUGCUGAGAGGGCACAGAAGAGAUAGCGAUUUGUGUCGCAGGUUUAGUGACACAAUCCAGACAGAGGUGGGAUUUUUUUUUUUUGAGUGACAGGAGUCACCAUGAGUCCCAGUGUGGAACAGCUUAAUGUGGGGGUUAGUGUACUUGGAAGGACGUCCCCAAACUUGGGAAGACAUCAGGCUCAGGAGGAAGCUCCUUUGCAGGCAGCGGCCGGUGGAAGAGACCA
RNA transcript from Artibeus jamaicensis (Jamaican fruit-eating bat), 2277 nucleotides. It is a transcript of the gene named stum, mechanosensory transduction mediator homolog, with no coding region annotated. The transcript has 4 exons. The record is from RefSeq and is a predicted model, not a curated record. NCBI's taxonomy places the organism in Eukaryota, Metazoa, Chordata, Mammalia, Chiroptera, Phyllostomidae.